GCCCUAGUAACGGCGAGUGAAGCGGCAUCAGCUCAAAUUUGAAAUCUGGCUCUUUCAGGGUCCGAGUUGUAAUUUGCAGAGGGAGCUUUCGAGUUGGCAGCGGUCUAAGUUCCUUGGAACAGGACGUCACAGAGGGUGAGAAUCCCGUACGUGGUCGCAGGCCUUCUCGAGGUAAAGCCCCUUCGACGAGUCGAGUUGUUUGGGAAUGCAGCUCUAAAUGGGAGGUAAAUUUCUUCUAAAGCUAAAUACUGGCCAGAGACCGAUAGCGCACAAGUAGAGUGAUCGAAAGAUGAAAAGCACUUUGGAAAGAGAGUCAAAUAGCACGUGAAAUUGUUGAAAGGGAAGCGCUUGCAGCCAGACUUGCCUGUAGUUGCUCAUCCGGGCUUUUGCCCGGUGCACUCUUCUAUAGGCAGGCCAGCAUCAGUUUGGGCGGUUGGAUAAAGGUCUCUGUCACGUACCUCCUCUCGGGGAGGCCUUAUAGGGGAGACGACAUGCAACCAGCCUGGACUGAGGUCCGCGCAUCUGCUAGGAUGCUGGCGUAAUGGCUGUAAGCGGCCCGUCUUGAAACACGGACCAAGGAGUCUAACAUCUAUGCGAGUGUUUGGGUGUCAAGCCCGAGCGCGCAAUGAAAGUGAACGGAGGUGGGAUCCCUUAAGGGUGCACCAUCGACCGAUCCUGAAGUCUUCGGAUGGAUUUGAGUAAGAGCAUGGCUGUUGGGACC
This 721-nucleotide ribosomal RNA is filed under the name Pleosporales sp. RNAcentral's name for it is "partial large subunit ribosomal RNA". It matches the Rfam family "Eukaryotic large subunit ribosomal RNA", at positions 77 to 816 of the family's 3401-position model. The record is from RNAcentral. Lineage: Eukaryota; Fungi; Ascomycota; Dothideomycetes; Pleosporales.